RNAcentral lists this ribosomal RNA (397 nucleotides) under uncultured bacterium. RNAcentral's name for it is "partial 16S ribosomal RNA". It matches the Rfam family "Bacterial small subunit ribosomal RNA", at positions 523 to 918 of the family's 1533-position model. The record is from RNAcentral.
AUACGUAGGGGGCGAGCGUUGUCCGGAAUGAUUGGGCGUAAAGGGCGCGUAGGCGGCGCGGUAAGUCUGGAGUGAAAGUCCUGCUUUCAAGGUGGGAAUUGCUUUGGAUACUGCCGCGCUUGAGUGCAGGAGAGGUUAUCGGAAUUCCCGGUGUAGCGGUGAAAUGCGUAGAGAUCGGGAGGAACACCAGUGGCGAAGGCGGGUAACUGGACUGCAACUGACGCUGGGGCGCGAAAGUGUGGGGAGCAAACAGGAUUAGAUACCCUGGUAGUCCACACUGUAAACGAUGAAUGCUAGGUGUAAGAGGUAUCGACCCCUUUUGUGCCGGAGUCAACACAAUAAGCAUUCCGCCUGGGGAGUACGGCCGCAAGGUUGAAACUCAAAUGAAUUGACGGGG